GGAUUGAAGGCGUGAUCUCCUCUUGUAAUUUUUUCUUUUUUAUAGUAAAGCUUGCAUGCCUUGUAGAGACGAACUUUUUGGCCGAUCCACGUAUUUGAUUAUAUUUCUGUUUUGUUUCUUCUUUCUUCCUGCUGCGAUGCAUGGUAUCGAAAAAGUUCUGUGGAGGUGGUGUCCUGACCAGACAUUCCCAACAAGUGGUAUCAGAGUGAGGCGGU
Molecule: long non-coding RNA, 215 nt
Filed under: Elaeis guineensis (African oil palm)
Lineage: Eukaryota; Viridiplantae; Streptophyta; Magnoliopsida; Arecales; Arecaceae
Description: long non-coding RNA (EGUI_LNC028930)
Source: RNAcentral